AUACGUAGGGGGCAAGCGUUAUCCGGAUUUACUGGGUGUAAAGGGAGCGUAGACGGUGUGACAAGUCUGAUGUGAAAACCCGGGGCUCAACUCCGGGAUUGCAUUGGACACUGCCAUACUUGAGUGCAGGAGAGGUAAGCGGAAUUCCUAGUGUAGCGGUGAAAUGCGUAGAUAUUAGGAGGAACACCGGCGGCGAAGGCGGCUUACUGGACUGUAACUGACGUUGAGGCUCGAAAGCGUGGGGAGCAAACAGGAUUAGAUACCCUGGUAGUCCACGCGGUAAACGAUGAAUACUAGGUGUUGGGGGUCUAUAGACCCUCGGUGCCGCAGCAAACGCAAUAAGUAUUCCACCUGGGGAGUACGUUCGCAAGAAUGAAACUCAAAUGAAUGGACGGGG
Molecule: ribosomal RNA, 397 nt
Filed under: uncultured bacterium
Lineage: Bacteria
Description: partial 16S ribosomal RNA
Rfam family: Bacterial small subunit ribosomal RNA
Source: RNAcentral